RNAcentral lists this non-coding RNA (117 nucleotides) under Papio anubis (olive baboon). Lineage: Eukaryota; Metazoa; Chordata; Mammalia; Primates; Cercopithecidae. The record is from Rfam by way of RNAcentral. RNAcentral also lists the same sequence under 1 other name.
GCCGGGUGUGGUGGCUCACGCCUGUAAUCCCAACACUUUGGGAGGCUGAGGCAGGUGGAUUGCCUGAGGUCAGGAGUUUGCAACCAGCCUGACCAACAUGGUGAAACCCUGUCUCUA